UGCAGUCGAGCGGAACGAGUUGUCUGAACCUUCGGGGAACGAUAACGGCGUCGAGCGGCGGACGGGUGAGUAAUGCCUGGGAAAUUGCCCUGAUGUGGGGGAUAACCAUUGGAAACGAUGGCUAAUACCGCAUAAUAGCUUCGGCUCAAAGAGGGGGACCUUCGGGCCUCUCGCGUCAGGAUAUGCCCAGGUGGGAUUAGCUAGUUGGUGAGGUAAGGGCUCACCAAGGCGACGAUCCCUAGCUGGUCUGAGAGGAUGAUCAGCCACACUGGAACUGAGACACGGUCCAGACUCCUACGGGAGGCAGCAGUGGGGAAUAUUGCACAAUGGGCGCAAGCCUGAUGCAGCCAUGCCGCGUGUAUGAAGAAGGCCUUCGGGUUGUAAAGUACUUUCAGCAGUGAGGAAGGUGGUGUACUUAAUACGUGCAUCAUUUGACGUUAGCUGCAGAAGAAGCACCGGCUAACUCCGUGCCAGCAGCCGCGGUAAUACGGAGGGUGCGAGCGUUAAUCGGAAUUACUGGGCGUAAAGCGCAUGCAGGUGGUUUGUUAAGUCAGAUGUGAAAGCCCGGGGCUCAACCCUCGGAAUUGCAUUUUGAAACUGGCAGACUAGAGUACUGUAGAGGGGGGUAGAAUUUC
RNAcentral lists this ribosomal RNA (635 nucleotides) under uncultured bacterium. RNAcentral describes it as "bacterial SSU rRNA". It matches the Rfam family "Bacterial small subunit ribosomal RNA", at positions 56 to 670 of the family's 1533-position model. The record is from RNAcentral.